GUGCCGUGGAUUUUCUUCCCUUCUGAAUUCUGCCUCUGAUCACUGUUGCUCAUUUGACAUAACUAAUGUGGUUGUGAAGUUCAAAAGCCAGAAAGAAGACAUCUUCUCUUCUUUUCAAGGCAAUGAGUGCUAUUGCUGCUGAAUUGGGGGGCAUCUUUUGAAGUCAACCACGUUAAAGGAAGAAGCAGGAUCCCAAGACCCUGAUCUGAGCGAGAGGCAGACACUCAAUCAACCAAACCACCCAGGUGUCCUGACUAUCCUGAAUUUGGAAUGAGAUGCUCUAAAGGUUAAGAAGAGGAGAACAAGUUGCAGAAUCAGGACCAGAACCUGAAUAAAGA
Canis lupus familiaris (dog) is the source of this 338-nucleotide long non-coding RNA. RefSeq lists it as uncharacterized. The record is from RefSeq and is a predicted model, not a curated record. The transcript has 4 exons. NCBI's taxonomy places the organism in Eukaryota, Metazoa, Chordata, Mammalia, Carnivora, Canidae.